CGUGGAAGCGCAGUAAUGCGUGAAGCGGAGGAGUACUAAUAGACCGAGGGCUUGACCAUAAAAAUCU
This 67-nucleotide ribosomal RNA is filed under the name Synechococcaceae bacterium LLD_019. RNAcentral describes it as "partial 23S ribosomal RNA". The record is from RNAcentral. Lineage: Bacteria; Bacillati; Cyanobacteriota; Cyanophyceae; Synechococcales; Synechococcaceae.